RNAcentral lists this ribosomal RNA (488 nucleotides) under uncultured bacterium. RNAcentral describes it as "partial 16S ribosomal RNA". It matches the Rfam family "Bacterial small subunit ribosomal RNA", at positions 29 to 507 of the family's 1533-position model. The record is from RNAcentral.
AUGAACGCUAGCUACAGGCUUAACACAUGCAAGUCGAGGGGCAGCAUGAUUGAAGCUUGCUUCAAUCGAUGGCGACCGGCGCACGGGUGAGUAACACGUAUCCAACCUGCCGAUAACUCGGGGAUAGCCUUUCGAAAGAAAGAUUAAUACCCGAUAGUAUAGUAUUUCCGCAUGGUUUCACUAUUAAAGAACUUCGGUUAUCGAUGGGGAUGCGUUCCAUUAGAUAGUUGGCGGGGUAACGGCCCACCAAGUCAACGAUGGAUAGGGGUUCUGAGAGGAAGGUCCCCCACAUUGGAACUGAGACACGGUCCAAACUCCUACGGGAGGCAGCAGUGAGGAAUAUUGGUCAAUGGACGAGAGUCUGAACCAGCCAAGUAGCGUGAAGGAUGACUGCCCUAUGGGUUGUAAACUUCUUUUAUACGGGAAUAAAGUGGAGUAUGCAUACUCCUUUGUAUGUACCGUAUGAAUAAGGAUCGGCUAACUCCGUG